CCUACGGGUGGCAGCAGUGAGGAAUAUUGGUCAAUGGACGAGAGUCUGAACCAGCCAAGUAGCGUGAAGGAUGACUGCCCUAUGGGGUGUAAACUUCUUUUAUAUGGGAAUAAAACAGGGUAUGCAUACCCUCUUGUAUGUACCAUAGGAAUAAGGAUCGGCUAACUCCGUGCCAGCAGCCGCGGUAAUACGGAGGAUCCGAGCGUUAUCCGGAUUUAUUGGGUUUAAAGGGGGCGUAGGUGGAUUGUUAAGUCAGGGGUGAAAGUUUGCGGCUCAACCGUAGAAUUGCAGUUGAUACUGGCAGUCUUGAGUACAGUAGCGGUGGGCGGAAUGCGUGGUGUAGCGGUGAAAUGCUUAGAUAUCACGCAGAACUCCGAUUGCGAAGGCAGCUCACUGGACUGCAACUGACGCUGAUGCACGAAAGUGUGGGUAUCAAACAGGAUUAGAUACCCCGGUAGUC
Molecule: ribosomal RNA, 460 nt
Filed under: uncultured bacterium
Lineage: Bacteria
Description: partial 16S ribosomal RNA
Rfam family: Bacterial small subunit ribosomal RNA
Source: RNAcentral